Molecule: non-coding RNA, 241 nt
Organism: Pelobates cultripes (western spadefoot toad)
Lineage: Eukaryota; Metazoa; Chordata; Amphibia; Anura; Pelobatidae
Source: the annotation of a GenBank genome assembly
GAUAGUUAUAAAACAAAGAAAUAGAGAGAAGAGAAAAAAAAUUGUGCAUUUAUUUUAUGUGUGUCAAUUGCUUAACAAAAUUCACAGUGCUACAGAGUUGGCUCCCACAUUACUUUUGAAUUUUUUUUAAAUUGAUUUAUUUUGUAUUUUUGAAAUGCAGGUGAGUACAACAGUGCCUGCAUUGCCACAACAGCAUUCCCAGGCUCAUUUGAUAUAAGCAAACAAAGGUUAUGGCAUGUUG